CUCAACUUAUUUAUUGAUAACAAAUAAAAAUUUUUAUAAGUUACUGAUUAUUCAUCGAUCAUAAAAUCAAAAUUUUUAUUGGUCACAACUCAUUUAUUCACUACAAAUUAUUUAAUUAAUUGGUCAUAAUUAAUUUUUUGAUCAUAACUUAAUCAAUUGUGAGGGACAGUCAAAACUUUUAGAUCACGUAAUACAAAUUAACCAAUUAUUGGUCAUGAGCAUCCAACCCCAUCUCAAGCAGUCAUCGCCGCAGUCGCCACCACCAACCACGCCGCCGCCGUGACUACAGCCAUACUCCACCGCGACUACAGCUACACCCUAACAUGACUACAAGUAGCACCACCACACCCUAAACAAAUUCACCACCAUUGUCAUACCUCAUCACCACUACGAGUUAACAUGAAAACCCCCACAAAGCAAAUCUAAUCGAGCUGAAGAUUGAUGUCGCCAUUGCUAAAAACCAUGAUAGCAUGAAAAUUCGGGAAUCCAGAUUUUAUUAUCGUGUCGUAAGAAAAAAAACGAAUCACCGCCGCCAUCGCCAAUAAAACCACCCCAACAUCACCACACCACCAACAAAAACUAGCCCAAAAACUUCGACGCUUAACCAAUAGAUCUAACAUCAUCGGCACUCAACCACUGCAAUACCUCUUAGCCAUCCAAUGACCUUGUGCGCAAUAGCCCUUCAUGUGGCUGUAAUGGUCGCCAGCGUCUCGACAUCGCACGGCUAUGUUGGUUUCUUCAAAGUGACGGGCUACAGCAUUAUCUUCGUAGUGGGGCUACUGCUUCAGAUCGACGUCACUAGAUGGUCGCCUGUUGAGCACGAUGGAAACGACAACUACGUCUUCGUCAAAGAAGAGAAAGUGAGGAUAGAGAGAGAAACAAGAUAGGAGAGGGAUGAAGAGAGAGGAAUGAAAUGAGAAAUUAAUUAGGGUUUGUGAUAAAUUUUGUAUUAUAAUAUUUAAUAUUUAAAUAUAAAACGUUUGAUUUUUG
This 990-nucleotide long non-coding RNA is filed under the name Olea europaea subsp. europaea. Lineage: Eukaryota; Viridiplantae; Streptophyta; Magnoliopsida; Lamiales; Oleaceae. The record is from RNAcentral.